Haliotis rufescens (red abalone) is the source of this 213-nucleotide long non-coding RNA. RefSeq lists it as uncharacterized. The transcript has 3 exons. The record is from RefSeq and is a predicted model, not a curated record. NCBI's taxonomy places the organism in Eukaryota, Metazoa, Mollusca, Gastropoda, Lepetellida, Haliotidae.
UUUGGUAUAGGGUGCGCUAAUAUGUACUUCAGCAAGGAAAGUUGGUCUUAUUGAUACAGAUGCUGGCUCGGUCACGUGGCUUAUCAGACCUAAUGGCAAAGCACUGUUCUUAAAUGGCUCCAUGACGGUGGACCUUCAACAAUCAAGUACCACUUCAAUCCCUCUGACGUCAACAAUCGCAGCUUCCCUGGCGUCUUCAGCAGCAACAUCUCC